AAAAAGGUUUUCUUCAAAACUAUCGCUUUGACUUGGAAAAUAUUAU
This is a non-coding RNA of Stegodyphus mimosarum, 46 nucleotides long. Lineage: Eukaryota; Metazoa; Arthropoda; Arachnida; Araneae; Eresidae. The record is from Rfam.